ACACAACCAGUAGGACACAUGUCAGUAGACACAACCAGUAGGACACAUGUCAGUAGACACAACCAGUAGGACACACAACCAGUAGGUCACACGUCAGUACAUACACACAACCAGUAGGACACACAACCAGUAGGACACACAACCAGUAGGACACACAACCAGUAGGACACACAACCAGUAGGACACACAACCAGUAGGACACACAACCAGUAGGACACACAACCAGUAGGACACACAGCCAGUAGGACACACAACCAGUAGGACACACAACCAGUAGGACACACAACCAGUAGGACACACAACCAGUAGGUCACACAACCAGUAGGACACACAGCCAGUAGGUCACACAACCAGUAGGUCACACAACCAGUAGGACACACAACCAGUAGGACACACAACCAGUAGGUCACACAACCAGUAGGACACACAACCAGUAGGACACACAACCAGUAGGACACACAACCAGUAGGACACACAACCAGUAGGUCACACAACCAGUAGGUCACACAACCAGUAGGACACACAACCAGUAGGACACACAACCAGUAGGUCACACAACCAGUAGGACACACAACCAGUAGGACACACAACCAGUAGGUCACACAACCAGUAGGACACA
Oncorhynchus keta (chum salmon) is the source of this 619-nucleotide long non-coding RNA. RefSeq lists it as uncharacterized. The record is from RefSeq and is a predicted model, not a curated record. The transcript is spliced from 3 exons. NCBI's taxonomy places the organism in Eukaryota, Metazoa, Chordata, Actinopteri, Salmoniformes, Salmonidae.